CCUACGGGUGGCAGCAGUGAGGAAUAUUGGUCAAUGGCCGGAAGGCUGAACCAGCCAAGCCGCGUGAAGGACAGUGGCCUAUGGGCGUUAAACUUCUUUUGUGCGGGAGCAAUAAUGGUCACGUGUGGCGAGACGGGAGUACCGUACGAAUAAGCAACGGCUAACUCCGUGACCGCAGCCGCGGUAAUACGGGGGCUGCAGGCGUUAUCCGGAUUUAGUGGGUUUAAAGGGAGCGUAGAUGGGUUGUUAAGUUAGUUGUGAAAGUCUGCGGCUCAACCGUAGAAGUGCAAUUGAUACUGGCAGUCUUGAGUGCAGAUGAGGUGGGUGGAAUUCGUGGUGUAGCGGUGAAAUGCGUAGAUAUCACGAAGAACCCCGAUUGCGAAGGCAGCUUACGAAUCUGUGACUGACAUUGAUGCUCGAAAGUGUGGGUAUCAAACAGGAUUAGAUACCCUAGUAGUC
Molecule: ribosomal RNA, 459 nt
Filed under: uncultured bacterium
Lineage: Bacteria
Description: partial 16S ribosomal RNA
Rfam family: Bacterial small subunit ribosomal RNA
Source: RNAcentral